RNAcentral lists this non-coding RNA (21 nucleotides) under Caenorhabditis elegans. The record is from RNAcentral. Lineage: Eukaryota; Metazoa; Nematoda; Chromadorea; Rhabditida; Rhabditidae.
UAAGACCUAUUUGUGCAAAAU